Molecule: long non-coding RNA, 587 nt
Organism: Heterocephalus glaber (naked mole-rat)
Lineage: Eukaryota; Metazoa; Chordata; Mammalia; Rodentia; Bathyergidae
Source: Ensembl
UUCCUGCAAGAAUCUCUUGUCAGUUACCAGUCCAGUCCUGCAUCUUGGGUCUUACCAGGCUCAGGUUUUCGUUACUCAUAUUUCUCUAUUUCUCUUACCUCAUAAAUGAAUCUUUCCAUUUCAGACCUAUCUUUGAGUCAAUAUCUCUUAAUGUCUUGAUCUGGGUUUUUUUUCCUUCCUUCUCCGAGGUGAUUGAACCCAGGUUCAGGAUCUCUUGCAUGGUAUUCAGUGACUUCCUGUGGCCACGGCUCCUCACUGCAGUCACCACCCAGCCUACUUCACACCCAUCAGAUCCUGCCAUGAAAAUCCCGAUCUCUCCAGACUCUCACUCCUUGAGGACUCUUCCAGGAGACAAAUGCUGAUUGCACACAUAAACUCCAGCCAAGGUUUUAAAGGGAGGAAUGAAAAGUAUCCAGCGCAUCAUAAUAAACAGAUAGCAAGGACUUCCUUUUCUAAAGAAAUUUGGAAACUUCAAAUCUCCUUUCUUACAGUUUUCAGUGAGACCUCAUUGUGAACUUUUUCUGAUGGAAAGAAGUAUUUUCAAGAACAUCAAGUGCUUUCAAGAAUAAUUAAGAAUUAUUCCAAAG